This 769-nucleotide ribosomal RNA is filed under the name uncultured bacterium. Its description in RNAcentral is "bacterial SSU rRNA". It matches the Rfam family "Bacterial small subunit ribosomal RNA", at positions 8 to 796 of the family's 1533-position model. The record is from RNAcentral.
AGAGUUUGAUCAUGGCUCAGGAUGAACGCUGGCGGCGUGCUUAAUACAUGCAAGUCGAACGAAGCAUCUUCGGAUGCUUAGUGGCGAACGGGUGAGUAACACGUAGAUAACCUACCUUUAACUCGAGGAUAACUCCGGGAAACUGGAGCUAAUACUGGAUAGGAUGUGUGCAUGAAAAAAACACAUUUAAAGAUUUAUCGGUUUAAGAGGGGUCUGCGGCGCAUUAGUUAGUUGGUGGGGUAAAAGCCUACCAAGACGAUGAUGCGUAGCCGGACUGAGAGGUCUACCGGCCACAUUGGGACUGAGAACGGCCCAAACUCCUACGGGAGGCAGCAGUAGGGAAUUUUCGGCAAUGGGGGAAACCCUGACCGAGCAACGCCGCGUGAACGACGAAGUACUUCGGUAUGUAAAGUUCUUUUAUAUGGGAAGAAAAAUUAAAAAUUGACGGUACCAUAUGAAUAAGCCCCGGCUAACUAUGUGCCAGCAGCCGCGGUAAUACAUAGGGGGGCGAGCGUUAUCCGGAUUUACUGGGCGUAAAGGGUGCGUAGGUGGUUAUAAAAGUUUGUGGUGUAAGUGCAGUGCUUAACGCUGUGAGGCUAUGAAAACUAUAUAACUAGAGUGAGACAGAGGCAAGUGGAAUUCCAUGUGUAGCGGUAAAAUGCGUAAAUAUAUGGAGGAACACCAGUGGCGAAGGCGGCUUGCUGGGUCUAUACUGACACUGAUGCACGAAAGCGUGGGGAGCAAACAGGAUUAGAUACCCUAGUAGUCC